AGACGGGUGAGGAACGCGUACACAACUUCCCUCAAACUGGGGCACAACCUUGAGAAAUCAGGGCUAAUUCCCCAUAACAUUGCGAAAAGGCAUCUGAUUGCAAUUAAAGAUUCAUCGGUUUGAGAUGGGUGUGCGCCUGAUUAGCUAGUUGGUAAGGUAACGGCUUACCAAGGCAACGAUCAGUAGCUGGUGUGAGAGCACGACCAGCCACACGGGCACUGAGAUACGGGCCCGACUCCUACGGGAGGCAGCAGUAAGGAAUAUUGGUCAAUGGACGCAAGUCUGAACCAGCCAUGCCGCGUGAGGGAUGAAGGUCCUCUGGAUUGUAAACCUCUUUUAUCUAUGAAGAAAUGCCCGAUUUCUAUUGGGCUUGACGGUAAUAGAUGAAUAAGCACCGGCUAACUCCGUGCCAGCAGCCGCGGUAAUACGGAGGGUGCAAGCGUUAUCCGGAUUUACUGGGUUUAAAGGGUGCGUAGGUGGAUUGGUGAGUCAGUGGUGAAAUACUUUCGCUUAACGAAGGAACUGCCAUUGAUACUACCAGUCUUGAAUACAGUGGAGGUGGGCGGAAUGCGUCAUGUAGCGGUGAAAUGCUUAGAUAUGACGC
This 604-nucleotide ribosomal RNA is filed under the name uncultured Bacteroidota bacterium. RNAcentral's name for it is "bacterial SSU rRNA". It matches the Rfam family "Bacterial small subunit ribosomal RNA", at positions 100 to 702 of the family's 1533-position model. The record is from RNAcentral. Lineage: Bacteria; Pseudomonadati; Bacteroidota.